AUUGAACGCUGGCGGCAGGCCUAACACAUGCAAGUCGAGCGGAUGAAGGGAGCUUGCUCCUGGAUUCAGCGGCGGACGGGUGAGUAAUGCCUAUGAAUCUGCCUGGUAGUGGGUGAUAACGUCCGGAAACGGGCGCUAAUACCGCAUACUUCCUGAGGGAGAAAGUGGGGGAUCUUCGGACCUCACGCUAUCAGAUGAGCCUAGGUCGGAUUAGCUAGUUGGUGGGGUAAAGGCCUACCAAGGCGACGAUCCGUAACUGGUCUGAGAGGAUGAUCAGUCACACUGGAAGUGAGACACGGUCCAGACUCCUACGGGAGGCAGCAGUGGGGAAUAUUGGACAAUGGGCGAAAGCCUGAUCCAGCCAUGCCGCGUGUGUGAAGAAGGUCUUCGGAUUGUAAAGCACUUUAAGUUGGGAGGAAGGGCAGUAAGUUAAUACCUUGCUGUUUUGACGUUACCAACAGAAUAAGCACCGGCUAACUUCGUG
RNAcentral lists this ribosomal RNA (484 nucleotides) under uncultured bacterium. RNAcentral describes it as "partial 16S ribosomal RNA". It matches the Rfam family "Bacterial small subunit ribosomal RNA", at positions 30 to 507 of the family's 1533-position model. The record is from RNAcentral.